This 2803-nucleotide long non-coding RNA is filed under the name Homo sapiens (human). Its description in RNAcentral is "HSALNT0401377". The record is from RNAcentral. Lineage: Eukaryota; Metazoa; Chordata; Mammalia; Primates; Hominidae.
CACUCACCGGAGCAGUGAGGCAGAACUAACUGGGAGAGGGUCCUUCUGUGACACCUACUGCAUCACCGGGCUGUGUGAAGUGACUCAGCUGCCAGAACUCACACAAUAUCAUUCUACACCAAAACCUCAUGGGAAAAAUGCUCCACGACCCUCAGGCUUAAACAGCUGUACUGGCCGCUCCCCAGAUCUCCAGCUCCCUGACCCUCAAACUCCAACUGCAGCACCAGCUCCGCCCCGGGUCUCCAGCUCCACAAUCCUCAAACUACAACAGCAGCACCAGCUCCCCUGUGGAUCUCCAGCUCAAUGACUCUCAGACUUGGGAGGCGGCACCGGCUCCCCACCAAGCCUCCAGCUCCACAACCCUCAAACUAGAAAGCAGCACCGGCUACUCCCUGGGUCUCCAGUUCCCUCAAACUUCAGCUAUAGCACUGGCUCUUCCCCGUGGCCACCAGCUCUGCAAACCUCAACUUACACAGUGGUAGCACCAGCUCCUCCCUAGGUCUCCAGCUACACGACCGUCAAAAUUGAACUGCAACACCAGCUCCUCUUUGGCCUCCAGCUCCACAAUCCUCCAACAACAACAGCAACACCGGCUCCUCCCUGAAUCUCCAGCUCAACAACCCUCAGACUUGAGAGGCAGCACCGGCACCUCCCCAAGACUCCAGCUCCAUGACCCUCAGAUUUGAACAGCGGUAGCACCAGCUCCUGUCCAGGUCUCCAGCUUCACGAUCCUUAAACUAGAACAGCAGUACCGCCGCCUCCGUAGGUUUCCAGUUCCAUGAUCCUAAGACAUGAAUGAAAGAACUGGGUCACCCCAGGGCUCCAACUCCAAGACCCACAGAUUUGAACGGCAGCACCGGCUCUUCCUGGGAUCUGCAGCUCCACAGCCUUCAAACUAGAUCAGCAGCUCCGACUCCUCCCUGGGUCUCCAGCUACACAAUCCUCAGACAUGAACAAUAAUAGCACCGGCUCCUCCUUGGGUCUCCAGCUUCACUACCCUCAGACUAGAACAGCAACACCAGUUCCUCCCUGGGUCUCCAGCUCUACAAUCCUCAGACAUAAACAGCAGAAGCACCAGCUCCUACCCUUGUCUCCACUUCCACGACCCUCAAACUACAACAGCAGUACCGGCCUCUCCCCAGGUCCCCAGAUCCACGACCCUCAAAAUAGAAUGGCAUCAUCAGCUCCUCCCUGGGUCUCCAGCUCCCAAACCCUCAAACUUCAAUGGACACAGCACAUCCUCCCCACAGUUAAACAGCAGCAUGGGCUGUUCCCCAAAGCUCCAGAUCCAUGACCCUCUGACUUAAAUGGUGGUAGCACCAGCUCCUCCCUAGGUCUCCAGUUCCAUGACCCUCAAACUACACAGUAGCACCGGCCCCACCCCAGGUCCACAGCUCCACCAACCUCACAUUAGACACUAAGACUACCUCCUCCCCACUGUCCAGCUACACAACCCUCAGCCUUAAACAACAGCAGCACCAGCUCUUACCUGGGUCUCCAGCACCACAACCCUCAGCCUUAAACAACAGCAGCACCAGCUCCUCCCUGUGUCUCAAGCUCCACAACCCUCAGACUAGAACCGCACCCCUCCUCCCUGAGUCUGCAGCUCCAUGACCCUCAAACUACAACAGCAACACAGGCUCCUCCCUGAAUCUCCAGCUCAACAACUCUCAGACUUGAGAGGCAGAACCGGCAACUCCCCAGAACUCUAGAUCUGUUCAGACUAGAACAGCAACACCGGUUCCUCUCUGGAUCUCCAGCUCAGUGACUCUCAGACUUCAAAGGCAGCACCAGCUCCUCCGUGGAUCUCCAGAUCCACAACAUUCAAACCAACAUGGCUCCUCCCUGGGUCUGCAGCUCCACGACCCUCAAACUAGAACAAGACCUCUCCUCCCUGGGCCGCCAGCUUCCUGACCUUCAAACUACAACAACACUGCUCCUCCCUGGGUCUGCAGGUCCAUGACCCUCAGACCAGAACAAGACCUCUCCUCCCUGGGUCGCCAGCUUCCUGACCCUCGAAUUACAACAACCUUGCUCCUCCCUGGGUCUGCAGCUCCACAACCCUGAAACUAGAACAAAAUUUCUCCUACCUGAGUCGCCAGCUUCCUGACACUCGAACGACAACAAAAUUGCUCCUCCCUGGGUCGGCAGCUCCACGACCCUCAAACUCGAACAAGACUUCUCCUCCCCAGGUUGCCAGCUACCAGACCCUCGAACUACAACAACAUUGCUCCACCCUGGGUCUGUAGCUCCACGACCCUCAGACCGGAUCAAGACCUCUCCUCCCUGGGUCGCCAGCUUCCGGACCCUCAAAUUACAACAAAAUUGCUCCUCCCUGGGUCGGCAGCUCCACGACCCUCACAAUAGAACAAGACCUCUCCUCCCUGGGUCGCCAGCUUCCGGACCCUUGAACUACAACAAAAUUGCUCCUCCCUGGGUUGGCAGCUCCACGACCCUCAAACUCCAACAAGACUUCUCCUCCCCGAGUUGCCAGCUGCCAGACCCUCGAAUUACAACAACAUUGCCCCUCCCUGGGUCUGCAGCUCCACGACCCUCAGACUAGUACAAGACCUCUCCCUGGGUCGCCAGCUUCCUGACCGUCGAACUACAACAAAAUUGCUCCUCCCUGCGUCUGCAGCUCCACGACCCUCACACCAGAAGAAGACCUCUCCUCCCUGGGUCGCCAGCUUCCUGACCCUCGAACUACAACAAAAUUGCUCCUCCCUGGGUCUGCAGCUCCACGACCCUCAGACCAGAACAAGACCUCUCCUCCCUGGGUCGCCAGCUUUCUGACCCUCGAACU